CCUACGGGAGGCAGCAGUGAGGAGUAUUGGUCAAUGGCCGAGAGGCUGAACCAGCCAAGUCGCGUGAGGGAAGACGGCCCUACGGGUUGUAAACCUCUUUUGUCGGGGAGCAAAGCGAACCACGUGUGGUUCAUGGAGAGUACCCGAAGAAAAAGCAUCGGCUAACUCCGUGCCAGCAGCCGCGGUAAUACGGAGGAUGCGAGCGUUAUCCGGAGUUGUUGGGUUUAAAGGGUGCGAAGGCGGAGGUGCAAGUCAGCGGUCAAAUUGCGGGGCUCAACCCCGUACUGCCGUUGAAACUGCAUCCCUUGAGUGCGCGAGAAGUAUGCGGAAUGCGUGGUGUAGCGGUGAAAUGCAGAGAUAUCACGCAGAACUCCGAUUGCGAAGGCAGCAUACCGGCGCGCAACUGACGCUCAUGCACGAAAGCGUGGGUAUCGAACAGGAUUAGAUACCCGAGUAGUC
RNAcentral lists this ribosomal RNA (459 nucleotides) under uncultured bacterium. Its description in RNAcentral is "partial 16S ribosomal RNA". It matches the Rfam family "Bacterial small subunit ribosomal RNA", at positions 338 to 795 of the family's 1533-position model. The record is from RNAcentral.